Molecule: long non-coding RNA, 2582 nt
Organism: Triticum aestivum (bread wheat)
Lineage: Eukaryota; Viridiplantae; Streptophyta; Magnoliopsida; Poales; Poaceae
Exons: 2
Source: RefSeq, a predicted model, not a curated record
CGAAAAAAAACCACCCCGCACAAACACCUCUCGUAUCGAUCCCCUCGAGGAGAAGCCGUCGCCCCCAUCUCCCGCUCUGCCGCCGCCGCCCCCCGCCUUACCGUAUCUCCCUCUCAGCCACCUCCACCACCCCCACGCUUCUCCCCAUCGCCGGAUCCGCUAUUAGAUCGCCAAGGUUAGGCGGCAGAGCUCCACGUCCGCGACUUGCUCGUGCUCGUCAAGGAAGGGGCUGCCGAUCGAAUCUGCGCUCACGCGGCUUGUGUGCCAUGGCCGCCAUGGCAUCCAUGGCCGACAAGAGGGGACCCUCGGCCUCGGCCAUGGCCGCCUGCUUUGGACACGGGCUGGUACUGCAUCUCUUCGGCGGAAGGCGAAAAGAAUGGCGGCGGCGGGCAAUAUGGGAGAAGACGGUGCCCUGCCUGACAACGGACUCGAAUUUCUACUGGAUCCGGUUGACAGCAUGCUGUUGGUUUCCGAUCAGUGAGGUGGUUGCGGACGUUGAGGUGCCAGAUCCGUUGGCGGCAAGGGACUUAGUGGAGACAGACAUGGCUGGCGCCGAUUCCUCAUGCGCGGUUGUGGUUGGGCACCUCGGCGGAGCUGCUGAGCCCCGGGAUUCUGGCGGCAAGAGGAAACAGUAGUCAACCCAGUCCGUGGAAUCGACCGGGAAAGUGAACCCGGAGGCGCCCAGGUCGACCAGAAGGUAAAAAGUAAAAUUAGAGUUCUGAAACUUUCAGACAGAAUGGUUUUGAUUUUUGCAAGCACUGUCACAUACUUGUGCAUGAGCAUAUAUGCUUGGUGCUGUGAUUACUCGUUUCAGCUGGGUAUCCUCGUGAUUUUUCUGGUCAUACUAAUGCGAAUUGGUGUUUCAUAUAUACGACUAGCCAAGAAGUUUUUAGAUGGAUCAUGUCAUAGAUGGACUAGCCAAGAUUGUUUUCAGAUGGAGUGACGAGUGGCACCUGCAGUUCUAAAGGAAAUGUUAGGGUAAGAAGGUUUAAUUCAGCACGCAAAACACAUAACCAUUGUACGACCAGACAGUUGUGGCACAACAGAAAACUAUAGCUACAACUUUUCUAUUUAAUUAAAAUUUUAGUUGACGAUAGUAUUAUCUAUUUUAUAAUUUUUAAUGUUAUAAGACUCCAAUCCAAUGCAGAGCUUAUGCCCGUCAUUGGCUUGUCUCCCCUGGGCUAUGCAUCCAGCUCCAGCGGGUUCAGCACGACUGAGGCAGCAGUGGGAAGGAAGAUUAUUUGGUAGGAUGGCGCUGACAACAUAUCGGAGAUGCGCCAAGCCUUGCUGCGACCUAGCUUUCUUGUGCUUGCUCUCCUUCCCCAACAACAGACCAUCAUGGCCCUCCCUUUUGUUGUUCAUCAAUGGGGGUCAUGUUCACAUCAGAACCAUCAUCAGCACAAUCUUCAUGAAUUUUCCAUAUUUGUCAUAUCUCUCUGAUUGUCCAGUGCAGAUCAUGUUGUUAAAAAGUGAAACUUCUGGGUUGAUUUCAGGUUUAAGGCGUAAAGACUUUUUUAGGUUCUGUUCGUGCUGGAAAAUUUAUGUUCAUUGUCGCACCAAUCAUGUCGGAACCGAAUUUAUUUUCAUUGUUUCAGUCCAAUUCAUCCUUAGAGGGAAAGUGUGGGCCUUGAACUGAAGGAGAGGCAAAUAUGUUUCUAUCAUAGUUAAAUUGGUUCUUGAUUUGAAGAGAUUAUAGAGCCACGUAAUUUUGUACCCGAGCACUGCCAACUGUCGACGAUUUGUAUUGUGUGUUGUUUUACAGUACCUACUUGCCAAUAUUAUUGUGUUGUUUCUCCUAACAAUUGUAGACAUGAAUACAUUUUUGACGAGGUGAAGACAACAGAGAUUGGAGGUAUGCGCUGGGCUCUUUGACACAAGCUAGGGAGGAGUAAGCUGACUGGAUAAUGAGAAAUGUUGAAGUAGUCCAAGGAGGAAUGACACACUGGCUGUGUGUGUGAUGACCUUAACUCUGAAAAAUGAGUUUUUCUUUCUUUCUAAAAUCUAGAGUGGAUUAAUUCUACAAGUAUCCUGAGUUUCUGAUAUGCUUUGCACAUCCACAUACGUGACAGCUGCAAGUUUAACCUGCUCUGAAAUCUCAGAGUUUGUUAGAAGAAACUAUAUUGUUGAUGUGGCUCUUUCACAGUUUUCAUUUCUAAUAAAAUGUGAAGGUGCAACUAUCCUGAAGAAUGAUUAUGUAAAAAGAAAGUUGUAUCAGCAUCGAAGUGAAGAACUGGUGCGGCAGAGCGCACCUUUCCUUCUUGUAAUGAUACCAUGUCCAGUGAAUGCAACACCUAAAACGUCUGCAUAUAAAAUUGCAGUUCGUGGCCGUGCACCUCUUGAUACAGCACCUUGUCCUGGUAGAGUCAGUCCGCUGGAAGAAAUGAUCAGGAGGUAUGCUGAUAAGCCCAUCCGAUAAUGUAGGAAGCCAGAGAUUAGGAUGAGUUUUGACUCCUCGGGGGAAGCUUACAUUUCUAUAACCUGUAUUCUUGGGAGCUUGUACUUGGAAUAAUAUGUGAAAAGAGUCUAUAACCUGUAUUCUUUGGAGCUUGGGUUUUGAAUAAUAUUUGGCAAGAGUGUCUCAA